UACGAAGGGACCUAGCGUAGUUCGGAAUUACUGGGCUUAAAGAGUUCGUAGGUGGUUGAAAAAGUUGGUGGUGAAAUCCCAGAGUUUAACUCUGGAACUGCCAUCAAAACUUUUCAGCUAGAGUAUGAUAGAGGAAAGCAGAAUUUCUAGUGUAGAGGUGAAAUUCGUAGAUAUUAGAAAGAAUACCAAUUGCGAAGGCAGCUUUCUGGAUCAUUACUGACACUGAGGAACGAAAGCAUGGGUAGCGAAGAGGAUUAGAUACCCUCGUAGUCCAUGCUGUAAACGAUGUGUGUUAGACGUUGGAAAUUUAUUUUCAGUGUCGCAGCGAAAGCGAUAAACACACCGCCUGGGGAGUACGACCGCAAGGUUAAAACUCAAAUGAAUUGACGGGGACCCGCACAAGUAGUGGAGCAUGUGGUUUAAUUCGAAGAUACGCGCAGAACCUUACCAACACUUGACAUGUUCGUCGCGACUCUAAGAGAUUAGAGUUUUCGGUUCGGCCGGACGAAACACAGGUGCUGCAUGGCUGUCGUCAGCUCGUGUCGUGAGAUGUUGGGUUAAGUCCCGCAACGAGCGCAACCCUCACUUUUAGUUGCCAUCAUUAAGUUGGGCACUCUGAAAGAACUGCCAGUGAUAAGCUGGAGGAAGGUGGGGAUGACGUCAAGUCCUCAUGGCCCUUACGUGUUGGGCUACACACGUGCUACAAUGGUAUCUACAACAGGAAGCAAGACUGCGAAGUUAAGCAAAUCCCUAAAAGAUACCUCAGUUCGGAUUGCACUCUGCAACUCGAGUGCAUGAAGCUGGAAUUACUAGUAAUCGUGGAUCAGCGUGCCACGGUGAAUGCGUUCCCGGGUCU
Molecule: ribosomal RNA, 856 nt
Filed under: uncultured bacterium
Lineage: Bacteria
Description: SSU rRNA
Rfam family: Bacterial small subunit ribosomal RNA
Source: RNAcentral